GGAUUGGAGCACGGUCAAAGCCGUGGCUUAGUAGUGGUGAGGAGGAGGGGGUGAAGCGUAGACAUAAUGGGGUGGUGGUGGUGGAGGAGACUUGUAUUUGUAAACUGGAGGAGGAGGUGGUGGAGACUUGUACUUGUAAGGGUGCUUGGGGGGUGAUGGUGGGGGUGGUGGGGGUGACUUGUACUUGUAGGGGUGCUUGGGUGGUGACGGUGGGGGUGGGGACUUGUACUUGUAAGGAUGCUUGGGGGGUGAUGGUGGUGGUGGUGGAGGUGACUUGUACUUGUAGGGGUGCUUGGGUGGUGACGGUGGGGGUGGGGACUUGUACUUGUAAGGGUGCUUGGGUGGUGACGGUGGUGGUGGUGGGGGGGACUUGUACUUGUAGGGAUGCUUUGGUGGGGAUGGUGGUGGUGGUGGUGGGGACUUGUACUUGUAGGGAUGCUUAGGUGGUGAUGGUGGUGGUGGUGGAGACUUGUAUUUGUAAGGAUGCUUUGGUGGUGAUGGUGGUGGAGGUGGUGGGGACUUGUACUUGUAAGGGUGCUUGGGUGGUGAUGGAGGUGGAGGUGGUGGAGACUUAUACUUGUAAACUGGAGGUGGUGGGGGUGGAGACUUGUACUUGUAAGGGUGCUUGGGUGGUGACGGAGGUGGAGGUGGUGGAGACUUAUACUUGUAAACUGGAGGUGGUGGGGGUGGAGACUUGUACUUGUAAGGGUGCUUGGGUGGUGAUGGUGGGGGUGGGGGUGGCGACUUGUACUUGUAGGGGUGUUUAGGUGGUGAUGGUGGUGGUGGUGGUGGUGGUGGGGACUUGUACUUGUAAGGAUGCUUGGGUGGUGAUGGUGGUGGAGGAGACUUGUACUUGUAAGGAUGCUUGGGUGGUGAUGGUGGUGGAGGUGGUGGAGACUUAUACUUGUAAACAGGAGUUGGUGGGGGAGGAGAUUUGUACUUGUAAGGUUUCUUGUGUGGUGGUGGUGGUGGAGGAGAGUAGAUCGGAGGAGGCGGUGGGGGAGACUUGUAAUGGUAGGGUGGUAGUGGGUUCUUCUUAGGAGGUGGUGGAGGAGAAGAAUAGGUGUAAUCUGCUGAGGUUUCAAAAGGCAAACUGAGAGAAACUGCUAGAACUAAAAGAGUGACAAAGAGAGAGGUCAUUGAUGACCCCAUUUUCCCCAUCUUUACUUCUAAAAAUGGGUUUAAUUUGGUUUAUGUUCGUAGACACCCUCUUCUCUCCCUUUAUAUAGACUCUGUUUUAACCUUAUAAUCUUCAUUUAAAUAUUGGGAAAAAGAAAAGGGCACAUUUUCAUUUCUUGAAAGUAAUCAGAAAUAACUGGAGAACCAUUAAAUUUGGCUUAUAAUAUUGAGGUUGCUAGCUAAGCAGUGAAUACAGUAAUCGUGAUGUGAUGUGUAUAAAAUACUUUUAUGUAUUUGGCUCGUAGUUGACUUUAUACAUAUAACUUUUUACAUGUACGUAUGAAAUUAGACAUGAUAAUAUUAAUAUUAAAUGUGAUACGAUUUAAAAUAAUUAAAUUUAACAUAACAUGAAUACCUCAAUUCUUGUGUAAUUAUUAUGGUCAAUUAUACCCUCCGUUCCUCGGAUUAAACCAAAUUUAAGAUUUUGACACCAAUAAAAAAAUAAAAUUUAAGAUCUAAUUCUUCAAUUUAAUAAGUUCAAAGAAAUAGUCUUGACAUUAAUGUUACUGAAGUUAAAAUUUUUAAAAUUUCAUAUCCAUAUAUAAAAAAAAUUAAAAAUUUUAAUUCCCACUUUUUUUUUGUCAAAAUUACCAUCAACCCAUGCAUGUAAACAAAUUUUGACAAAACAAUACCAACUAUAAUUAUAUACUGGGCGUAACACCCUAGACCCGGUCUAGAUGUCCAGUCCAAGUUAGAGAGUUACACCAUCGAAACUCAAAUACCUCACAAGUAACACAAUAAUACUAAACCAUGCUUCACAUAGUAUUCAUCACAAAGAUUAGUUAAGUGUAUAAUCUUCCAAAGUCAAGCUAUCAUAGUUUACCGAAACUCCUAACGUAAUACUUAAAAGAAAGAUAAAAGCUUGAUCGAGCUCUCGCGACACCGACCCGAUCAAGACUGGGAACCACCUGAAAUCCAACCAAUAGCAAAAUGAGUUGUGAACUCAGUGCGUAAAAGAAGUUUGUUCAACUAAUGCUCACUUAUAAAAUAGUUCUGAAUUCAAAGAUUCGGUUUGAUACAGAAGUAAUUUCAGUUCAAAUUCAGAGCAGAUUAGUUACAUAUAUAUAUAAGCAAUUUCAAUUUCAUAUACGAUACAGAUCAGAUUCAGAUGCAAUGCUCCUACCCCCAUCCACUACACACCGUCUUCAGCUAUCCUAACAUGCUGUUAAGGACAUUUAAUGCCCAACCAAUUCUGCACACCUUAGAGUGUGCGUUUGACACUUUUACAGAGACACAGCUUAGCUGCUAGAUCAAAAUGCGACGAAGCGCCAGAAUCAGAUUUAUACGCAUUAUGGUUUAGCCACUAAUUCAUAACAGAUUACUUCCUUCUUCACAAUACCUCAACCCAUGCAAAUGUAGAGCACAAUACUCGUAUUAUGUAUUUAGUCAUUCUAAUUUAUUUCACAAAUAGAUAAGACAAUUCAACAUCAGAAUAAGUAUCAUAGUAUAUACAUACAACUAUGUUAUCCCCACAUCAGUCUCAGAGUAUCAGACCAUUCUCAUAUAAUCAAAUUCAUUCAUUCAUACAUUGAGGAGGCCAGUAUCAGUGUUAAGCAACAUUCACGGCCUCAAAAACAGGUUUUGGGCUCCAAUAACAUGCCACACGGUCUGGUCACACGCCCAUAUCCUUUGCUCGUGUGGUUCUGAAGCAUAAAUAGUGAGUUACACGGGUCGGACACACGCCCGUAUCCCUACCCGUGUGACUUACACGGCCUGGGCAGACGCCCGUGUCCCUAGCCGUGUGGUAUUGUACCAUAAACACUGAGGUACACGGUCCAGACACACGCCCGUGUCUGUUGCCUGUGUGAACCCUGCACUAAUAUGGCCACACACGGCCUAGACACACGCCCAUGUGCCUUGCCCAGGUGGCCCCAAAUCGAUAAACAGUGAGUUACAUGGCCUUCCACACGGCCUGGACACACGCCUGUGUGCCUGGCCGUGUGGUGUUGACAACCACCAUUUUCGACGAUCGAAACUUGCAAAAAUUAAGGUUUUAGGUACACACCUAGUUUCGCUUUGACAGAAAAACAAUGCGGGGACUACACGAAACCUAAUUAACCACCCAAUAAUCAAUUACACCAUCGUUUUCAAUAUUUUACUAAAAUCAACCUACCGUCAAGAUCAUGUCGAAAGUUUUGACGCAACCCCAACUCAAUUCGCAUACUUACCUCGCACGAAACAGAAGGAAAUCAGGCUAAAACAGCAGAGUAACGUCUCUUGUAAUAUCCUCACCUAAAAAAAGUAACCAAUUGAGUGUUUAAACAGAAUGUUCGAGCAAACGAGCAAAAUCCCGUUUCGACAGAAUAAUGUUAACAAGAUGGAACUCGCAAAAUGAAAGGAGAUAACGACGGAACUUACACAAUAAUCACACAAUCGACCUCACAGGCAUCGAAGAAGUCCCAUUUAACGCAGAAUCAAACAUAGUAAAAAGCAAAAUUAAAAGAAAAGAAGAAAAGGAAAGGAAAGGAAAAGAGAACCAAGAACUUUUGAAAAUGAAAAGAAUACAGACAGAUGCUUAAUCAGUAGCAGGCUCAUUCUUGACAUCAAUUUACCCAGAAGUGCACUUAAAUACAUAACACGUGGAUAAAGGUUGUUUUAAAAUAAAUAAAACUUUUAACGAUGCAACUCGGACUCUAGACCUUAAACACAAUAACGGAACAUAAAGUCACAAAUACAAAAAUUUAAUUACUACAAAUUUUAGCAAUUAAAUUCUUAAAAUUUUGAGGCGUUACACUAGGAACCUAUCAAAUUUUAAAUAAUAUAUUUUAAAUGCAAUUAUAAUAAAUAUUAAAAGUGAAAUUUGACGUUACACCUAAUAAACAUGAUAAAAUACACCAACACAACUUAUAUACAUAAAUUGUCAAAAUCAAAUUUAGAAAACAUAUUCAUAAUUAUCAAAUCUUAAAUCUCUCAAGGAUAACAUAUAAUACUGAUAAAUCCAUUAAAACACACUAAUAUCAGUACAUAUUAACAUCAUAACAAAAUUAACACAUUCAUUAAUCUGAUAAUGUACUUCUCAAUUCAUUACAAAAAUCACCUCAAUAACACGAAUUUUCAUACUCCAAAUAGAGGUAAAAGUAUGAUGGAGAUUUUUAUAGGAGUUAAAUUGCAUUUUAUCCAUUCUACUAAAAAAUGCGCAAAUUAAUCACUGUACGUUAGAUCAAAGAGUAACUGAUUUUUUGGUUAAAAAUUUCAUCCAUUUUUACUGUUAAAAACUUGUCUAUGUACGUCAGCAUGACGUAUACGUGGCACACCAUGUGUCACUAUCUGAUUAUUUUGUCAGGUAAACUAGUUUUUAAUAGUACAAAUAGAUAAAAAUUUUAACAAAAAUAACUAAAUUACUCUUUGACCACUAUAUAAGAACUAGUAUGUAAUAUGAAAAAACCAUUUUACUGCAAAUAGAUAAUUUUAUUGUUAUUAAUAGCUGUCCAUGAAUUUGAGAACAUUUUAUAUGGGUACCAAACUUUUCCAUGAAAUUGCUUGGCUACGGGACCAGGCGGCUUAGACUUUCUUUGCCAGGCUAUAUUCUCCACUCUCUCUUCUUUGUCGUUUACAUUUAAUUUGAAGACUCCAUUUGCUUUUUUUUUUUCCAUUCCCUCUGUCAAAUCCAUCAUCUUCAGUUAAUUAUCAUAUUCAUGAAGAUAAUUAACUAGCUUUUGUCUUAUUUUUUGUUUUAGUUAACGUCUCAAUUAUUGCCAUCAAUUCAAGACAAUUAGGUGAAAAUUCAUUUUAUUAUUUAAAAUAUAUCACGGGAUUAGCUCUUUUGAGAGAAUUUUUUUAAGGAAAUACCGAUUCGAAUCGCCAGGCCCCUUCUAAUGGAGAGCCGUGUACAAUUCAUGGAGAGAGACACUUAACUAAAUGGUAUCUUAUACCUCAAUAGGUGACCUAUAUGUCAUAUGGCAAGGGUUCAAACCCCACUAAUGGCGAGGCACUCGCGUUGCAUCUUGGUGGGUGGUCAUACAUUCACAUACAGUUGAGAUGCUCUCUUUCGUGAACCGUACACGGCUCUAUGCAAAAAAGUUGGGACUAUACCUUCCAUUGUUGAUAGUCCAAAUUGAUGUCUUAAAGAAAGACACUUCGAAGAUUUCUCUUAAAAACCUGAAUCAAUCAUCAACAAAAACUACUUAAGAAAAUAUUAUAAUAUUACAUUAAAAUAGAAAUAAACUUUAUUAAUUAAAUGAUAGCCUAAACCAAAAUGGGUUCAAAGUGUAGAAAUCAUGAAUAAUUUAAUCACCGGCAAGGGAUACGAGUUAGUUCUUCUAACAAACCACAACUUCAUUUAAUUAAUUUUAGAUAAAAAUAAUUUGAGAUUUUAAUAAUUGAUCCAAUUGCUUAAAGAGACAUUGGUGAUGUGCACAUGAUAUAGAAGCUUAAGUAGAAAAAGAAAACAAGAGUUUAAGUAGAUUGUCAAAAUAUCUUUCUCAAAUAAAUAGAGUUUUAAUAGAAACAAUGAUUAUCAAAAAAUAUAUAAAUUACUGUUUUUUUCCUCACAAGAGGAAAAAAGGAAGUGCUGGUGUUUUUAAAGCAAAUAGAGUGAUCUGGAUGGAAUCUUUUGCUUAAAUCACUUUGAUUAAUUGCUUUACUCACUUUGACGUUUUUAAACUAUUUUUAGCAAAUAAAAAUAAAGCAAUACAUCUAAUCAAAUAUAUAUACUGAAUUUUACAAAUAUUAAAUUUAUAUUAGAAAAUUAUUUUGUGUAUUAAUAAAAAUUAAGUAUUGAAAAUUAAUUUUAUUGUUUGAUAAAAUUAAAUUUUUUUUUAAAUUAUUGAUUUUUUAAAUUUAAUCCUAUUGAUAUAAUAUUUUAUUAUGUUUUGUAUAGUUUUUUUAUACAAUGCCUAGAAACUACCCAUAAUCCUUCCCUAAUUCUUAAAUAGGAGAAUAAACUUUAACAAACUUGAACGUACGACAUCCUACACUGACAACAAUACCAAUGUCAACAAGCUAAGAUUUAAUAGGCAUGUUUUGUUUAAUUUUGAAUAAAAGUUAAAUAUACUAAUUUGAAUAUCUCAUCCUUUGACAAAAAAAAAUUCCAAUAUAGUGGUUUAAAGAAAAUCAACUUAAUAAAAUUACGAAAUCCAUUUUUUAUGACAAUUUUGUCCUGAGUGAAAAAACUAAUGGAAUUGUCAAGCAAAUAUAACAAUUUAAGUCGGUGUUUAGAAGAGCUGUGGGUGAGCUUCACUCACCUCCAUUAGUCGCUGUCAUUUUCUUCACACAUCGGCGUGUGACGCUCACUCUGACGAUUUUUCUCAUUUCGCCUCCACCAUUGACUUCAGAGCUAUAUUCCAACCUUUCCCUUUGAGAAUUUCUUGGUUUGGUGAGGUUGAAAUUUUUGGGAUUUUUUUCUAUUUCUUAGGUUUUAUACUAUUGGUUGAUGUAUUUUUUCGAUUAUUUUGUUUUCAUUUUCUUAAAAGUGACAACAAUAGAUAAAAAAGGGUGAUCGGUUUCGAUAACCUAUCUUGGCAAAUUAGUCCCAUCAAACUUGAUGAAAAUAACUAUCUUGCUUAGUAUUGAUCAUGUUUGUUGUUCAUCAAGGCUAGAGCCCUUCAAGGCUAUAUUAUAGGUGAUAAUAAGAAGCCUACUAUUGAUGAAUUUACAUUCAAUUCAUGGGAUUCAAAAAGCUCACAUAUCAUGUCACACAUCUCUAAAACGUAUUUAUUACUUGACAUCGUGACAAAAAUAUAGUGCAGUUGCUCUCACUUAUUCACAAGUGGAAAAUGACACUAAAAUAUUUGAGAUACGAAAUAAGAUCUAAUACCAAGCAAUGUGAGAUGUCAAUUUCUUAGUAUCAUUCUAGCCUUAGUAGGCUAUGGUAGGGGUUGGAUUAAUAUCAAGACUUUCAAGCAGACUGUACUGGAGAUGUUAAGUUUCAAAAACUUGUUGAAAAGGAAUGAAUCUAUGAUUUUUUUAGCUAGACUCAACCAUGAGUAUGAUCAUAUCCGAGUUCAAGUUCUUGGAAAAACUCAUUUUCUGUAUCUCCAAGAAUCUUAUUCCUAUGUCCAACAAGAAGAAAGUAGGAGUGUUAUGCUCUAUAAAACACCUAUAGAGAAAGCAGGUUUGAUUGCUAAUGGUUCCUAAUAGCAAAAGAAAAAAUACAAUUUUGAUAAGAAUCAUCUGGUGUGUGAUCAUUGUGGGAAUACUCAGCAUACUAAAUAGACAUGUUGGAAACUACAUGGUCUACCCAUCAAAGGUCGAGAAAAAAAACAAAUCAAGCCAACAUGGAACCAAGUAAAUUUCUCUGAAGUUGUGAAAACAUCCAAAGAGAUGGCUCCUAGUGAGGCAUUCUCAUCUGAUGAAAUUAAGCACCUUAGACACCUCUUGCCACAACUUGAGACUCCUUCUAAUAUGUCCAAUUUUUUGAAGUCCAGUAAUGCUUAUAAUGCUCACAAUAAUGAAGUAAGGAGGUUUAUUAAUGAAUUGAGACUCGCCAACCAUAAUGAAGUUGGAAGAGGACGUCAUCUUGUGUGGUUUUAAUAGAUGGAAUUUGAGCUACCUUAAGGAUUUUCUCUUGGUUGUUAAAUCAUCUUUUAGAGACUAGCUUUGAUAUCAAUUGUUAGCUUGAUUAAUCAAACCAAAAUUGCAAAGAAGGGGGUGAAUUGGCCUUUAAAAAUUUUGGUAAAAGCAAAGAAAUAAUAUGAAACAAUGAACACAAAGAUUUAGAGUGGUUCGGCUCCAAUUGCCUACUCCACUACCUUAGUUUUCUACAACUAAAAAUUUUCUCAAAUUCACUAAUUUGUUCAACCUUUGAGAAUAAGGUUUAACCUUACAACCCUCUUAAGAUCUCUAUCCCAAAUCUUAAGAUAAACCUUCUCAAAUAAUUGCAAAAAAGCAAAUAAAUAAAUAAUCCAAACAAGAUCGAAAUGUUUUUCAAUUAAGCACAAGUAGACAAGAAUACACUUAAGCAAAAGAAAGCCAAUAAGAGCUCACAGGUGUGUACAAGAGAAUUAUGGAAGUAUUAAGUACAAAGGUUGUUUGAUUGAUAAUUUUUUUUCCAAUUAAGCACAAAUAGACAAGAACACACUUGGGCAAAAGAAAGACGAUAAGAGCUCAUAAGUGUGUACAAGAGAAUUAUGGAAGUAUUGAGUACAAAGGUUGUUUCAUUGAUAAUUUUUGCUUCAAUAUGCUUUCUUGUUGUUGUAGGAUCUUUAAAAGUUAGUAUUUAUAUCCUCUAAUUGAUUUCCAACAGUUGAGGUUGUUGUAGUAGUUAAUAGAGUCGUUGGGGAUGUGAAAACUAGAGUAUUUAACACACCUACAAUAGCAAGUAUCAAUACCAAACAAAAAGGUAUCGAUAUUUUUUUUGGUAAUAAAUGCUAAAUUCAGUAACCGUUGGAAUUUACAUAUCGAUACCAUACCAAAUUUAUUGAUACCUUAUAAAAAGAUAUUCAUACUGGAUCGAUACUUAGUUGCUUUUGUGAGAAACAAAAUGCCAAUUUAGUAUCGUUUCUUUCAAAGGGUAUCGAUAUUUGGCCAAAAAGGUAUCGCUACAUUUUGGCCUAGAGUAAUUCUGACUUGUUUGAAAGAUAUUUUGACUUGAUAAAAUGAUAAAAGACCUUUUUACUUAGUUAAAAUCAUUUUAACUAGAUUUGAAAGUUGUUUCAAAAAAAUUUCUAAGAGUUCAAAAAGAUAUUUAAAAUUUUAUCUUUUAGACUUUAAUAUAAAAAUUAUUCUAUAAAUUUUUUAUUCAAUUUUAACUUUUAUUCGAAAAUAUUUUCAUUUGUUAUAUCAAAACAUAUUUUUAAAUAAAGCUUAAUUUAACAAAUAACAAUAUCACAGAGUUGUGUGCUUAGCCCUACCGGUGUCAUCUAUUUAUAAGAAGAAGAAGUAAAACCUUUUUUGAAUUGUAGAAGUUUAUUUCAAUUAGAAAAAAGAACUCCUAGUCUAACUAGAAGUAUAGGGGGUGACGACCAUAGUUAAUAAUACUUGGGUUUGUCGUCCCUCCCUUUAACAUGAGAGGCUUUUGGACCUCUCCUACAUCGAGUCCAAUUACAAGUACUUCUUAGACUUUUAACCCAAUACUUUAUAAUUCAAUCCAACCCAAUUUUUUUUCUAUUUCCCAAAAUAAACAUCUCAAUUUAUUUCCAAUUAAAUAAUAUUCUCAACCCAAUUCUAAUUCCGUUAAAAUCAUGACGACUUUACUGUAUAAGAAUCUAUAAGAAAAUAUAUUUAAUAUUUCUACAUUCAACGAGUUUAUUAUGACCAAAUGGUUUAUUUCUAUUUUCGAACUUCAUUUAAUUUGAAAACCAUAAAUUUCAAGUCUUUUUCAUUUUUCAUUUUGAAUAAAACCAUAUUCAUUUUCAAAUGUUUUCGAUUUCUCCAUUUUCACCAUUUCUAUCCAUUUCUAUUCAUUUAAUUGGCAUAGUGCCUAAAAUAGCCCCUAACGUUUGACUAUUUGGUCACUUUUGCCUUUUAUGUUUUUUCUUAGAGCACUUUAACCCUUAACACUUUUUUGGUCAAAUUGAUCUAUUUUUAACAGACAUACUGACGUGGCCGUUAGUUGAUUAAUGAUCAACAUUAACCGCUGAUGUGGCGGUCCAAAUGUAAUUAAAUGCUGAUGCGACACUAUUUUGUCUUAUAUGCCACAUCAGCAAAUGAUUUUAAAAUUAUUAAAAUUAUUUUAAAAUCAUCAUCAUCAUCACCGCUUCUUCUCCGUGUCCGCUUCUUUAUUGUCGGUUUUCUGGGUUCGAUUAAUGAAUAGAUCUAGGGGGCAACUUAGGUUAAAAAUACUUAUUAAAGCUUAAUUUUACUGUUGUAUAUAUAUUUUUCUUGAAUUGCUUUUGUGUCAAUUACUGUUUCGUGUUAUAUUUUCCCACCUGCAUUUGUUGUGUUUUUUUUAAUCUCUACCAAAUUCCAAACCUUUAAAAUUUGAAGCUCUAAGUUGAGUUCCAAAAAUGCUCACGUUUAGAUGCUAGAAGCAUAUCUAGAAAAAGAAAAAAGAAAAAAAAAUUAGAUUUUGAACUUUAAACUAUGGUGUCGGUAACAAACCCUAGAACCCAAAAUGAAAGCAAGAAAGGAAAGGAGAUCUAACCUUGAAAUUAUGAAAUCGGGCCUUGUGAGUAGCAUAUUUAAAGGUUGUGAACAUGGUGAGUUGAGAAAUUUCGAUCAACGAGUUAAGGGAAAAAAGGGAGCGAAGGAAAACGCGGACGGGGCUUAACAGAUUUAGCCUUGUAAGCAUAAAUUUGUAAGUUUCCUUUUAAGUGGCAUUUAUAGCUACUUACUUGCUUAGUUGCGUGGGCAUCAGCGUUUUGGUAAUGAAAUUUUGAAGUUAUAUUGACGAUUGUCUUAAAAGAUUAGAUGGGGAAAUAUUGUUCCAUCCAGAAGCAAUGGUAAAAAGUGGUGAGCUUGAGGAUAGACAUUGAACUAGUUGUGAGCAAUGGUGUUAAAAUUAUCAGACAGUUAGGUAGUUGAUGAAGCAGCAGCAAAGCUACAAAUUUGAAUGAUUGGAGAUGGAGAAGUAUGCAAUUUAAAGGAUACAUUUUGGGCCUAGAAAGAAAAAAUGAAGAAAAAGAAAUGGUGAUGAUGAUGAUGGUUUUAAAAUAAUUUUAAUAAUUUUAAAAUCAUUUCCUAACGUGACAUAUAAGACAAAAUAGUGUCAUGUCAGCAUUUAAUUGCAUUUGGACCGCCACGUUAGCGGUUAAUGUUGACUGUUAGUUAACUAAUGACCAUGUCAAUAUGUCAUUUAAAAAUAGAUUAAUUUGACUAAAAAAACACAUUAGGUGUUAACGUGCUCCAAAAAACCAUAAAAGGCAAAAAUGACCAAACAAUUAAACGUUAAAGGCUAUUUUUGGCAUUAUGCCCAUUUAAUUCAACAUGCAAUUCAUUUCUGGUUUCAACGAGCUAGCGGAGGGACCGAUUGAACAUAUGCAAUUGAGGCUCAAAUGAUUUAUAAUUAAGGUCCAACUUUUUGACUAUUAAUGAUAAACUCAUUUAGUCGCGAAGUCAUUCCACUAUAGUAUCGUGAUUGAGUUCACCCCAACGGCAUACUACGAAAGCAACUUGAUCAGUGCUCGUCCAAUGACUUUAUCAUAAGUGUGUUACCCUCAUAGGUUAUCCUUAAUCUCUUUGGGAUAAUAUUCGUUCUCCCAAUAUGAUCCUAUUUUAUCUCAUGAUAACCAUUACAUUUUCCUUCAUGAAAAGUCAAUUACUAUCAAAUAGUAAUCAAGUCAUUCCUCAUAAAGACGAACGAUUCAUGGCCACGUUUACUUUUCAUCAACCAUGUAAUGCCAAUGAGAGGAUACCAUUUACCCAUGUCUCAGGUUAUGAAUUUCACUAUUGUGAAUGGCGCUACAUACUACAAAACUCAUUUAAUAAGUACAAUAAUUGAAAAAAAAUACCAAAACUAAUAAGUAAAACUCAUUUAAUUUUAAAGUAAAGUUUAAGGACUAAUCAUAAAUUUAGUAAAACCUUUUUGUAAAAUUGAGAGUGAAAUUAUGGAAUUAACCAUAUAAGAUUUAAUCAUGCAAAUUUUUAAGUCAUUUCAUAGCAUUUAAGGACUCCAAUUGAAAAGAUAACAAAACAUGCUCAAAACCUACAUAUGACACAUUGACACCUAUCCACACAUACUAUUUUGUGUUUUCAUGCUAAUUUUCAUAUUCUAACAUAUCAUAUAACAUAUAUAGAUCAUACAAAUCAUACUCAAUUACACUAAAACAUACUUUAACACUCUAACUAGUUAGCUAUACUAGCAUGCAAUCCUAAAGUCACAACUCAUAUUACUUAACAUCUCAAUUUUGCAUCUCAUACAUUUCUAAGUGUAUUAUAGGUUCAUACCUUACCUAUUUGGUCAUUUUAAGCUUGUCUCAAUGAUCAGCAAGUCAUUCAAGCAUUUAUAACAAUAAUUCAUUAAGCACAUGCAUAUCAUUCAUCAUGCAACAAAAAUUUAACAAUCAUGCAUUACCUAUUUGGAAUGUAACAUUCCAAGAGAUAAUGAUCUUAUGUUCAAACUCUACUAAAUGUGAUUUAUAAAAUUUUAAAAUUUCUAAUAUUCUUUAAAAAUUUUAUUAAAUUUUAGUAUUUUCAUUUUUUGUAACUUUUUCUUUUUAAUUAUUUUAAUAAGGUUUGUAAUUUUUAAAAUAUUUUUAAUUUUUAAUUUUUAUAAUUUUACUAAAUUUAUUUUUUCUAUUUGUUAAUAGUUUUGCAACUUUUUAAUUAAUUUUUAUAAUUUUAUAAUUUUUAAUAUUUUUUUAAUAAUUUUUUGUAUGUAUUUUUAAGGUUUUUCGGACGACGACGACAUAGUAACAUCAUUGUAUGACACAUGACAGCAUAUGUUUGGUUGACCAAUUUUUUUAAUGUCCAAAGGGCUGAAUCAAGAAAACAUGAUAAUGUUAAGGACUAAACUGAGAACAUCUGAUAAUAUUAAGGAUUAAAGUGUUGAUUAAGCAUUUUGAAUUUGGAAGAAACUUAAAAGCUUCACGCAGCACGCUACAUCAACGACUGAGUUUUGAGUUUGUUCAUAUAUACACAUUUUAUUAUUUAUAAUUAAAAAAUUUCAGUUCUCACGUGCGAUUGACAUUCUGUACCGGUUUCCUAAUUGCUCCCGUACGGAUGUAUGAGGAGUUGGUGAAGACUAGGACUUGCAAUUUAUCUGCUUUAGACUGCUUCCCUAGCACUUCUUGUUUACUUUUUAUUAUUGUUAUCUAGAAACAACUAGAUUUAACUUAAUUCUUUGGUAACAAUUUUACUUUUCAUCUCUGUUGAAAAUAUGAGUACGUAAAAGAGAUGUGAGCAUGGAAAUUAUACUUUGAGCUCAUAUUUAUAGCAUAACAGGGUCGGAGUUGAAGGAGGGAAUGAGUCAAGAAAGGAUCCAAAUUCCAGUUUCAUGAAUUUGACAGCUAACGCAGUAAUUGUUUACUGUGGUUUGAUUUUGGUCCCAAAGAGAAAGCCAUACUAGAUCUGAUCACACGAUUAGCCUAUUUAAUCUUAAUCGAAUAAAUUUAGUCUAUGCUUUGGCACAGUUUUCAACAACUACAGGGGAUUAUUUCUUAUGUGUCAAUUUUGGCUUUCUUUCUUCAAAAGAUACCGAUAAUUGAAAAAACCAACACAACUUCCUAUUAAUUUUCUUCUUUAUUUUUCCUUAGUUGUCAAUCUUGGCUUGUUAUUAAAAGCUGCAGUAAAUAUAAUGGACCAAUUAUGUACAGCUUAAAUUAACGACUUGCUGACAAUAAAAAGUGUGUUAUACCCGAAACAAAACAAACUUUAUUAAAUUAGUUUUACGCUUUUAAAUAUUUUAAUAAUCAAACUUUCAUUUUUUAUAUUUCACUUAUAUAAAUCAUAAUUUUAUUGUUUCAAUAAAUAUUAAUAUAUAAUAUUUCAGAUCAAUAUAAUAGAGAUAUCGGAUUUGUUCAAAUUUUUACACCUAUGAUAAGUACAUUUAUAUCAAUAAUUUCAAUUGUUGAGUAGUUAAAAUAUUAAUUAUAUAAAAAGAUACGAAACUAUUUUAAUUUUACAUUAGUAUAAAUGGAUCUCACCCUGCUAACAUGUUUUAAUUUAAUGGUAAUUUUUAAGUUUUCAAGAAUUUUGAAAUUUUAUAUUCAAUUCUGACUAUUUCAUUCUAAAUUCUUUGUGGUUUAUAAAUCUAAUUUUUAUAUAUAGAUCAAAUAUAUUUCAGUUAUAAUAUUUAAUUUUAGUUGUAGUUAUUUGAAUAUAUUACUUCGAUUGCAAUUACAAUCUCUAAAACAUUAUAAUGGUAGAAAAAAAUCAUCUUAAAUAUUUAUAUUAUUAAUAGGAUAAAUUUUACAAAUGGUCACUUAAUCAUGUUCACAUUCCUGUUUUGAUCAUCCAAUUUUAAAAAAUUUCAAUUUAGGCACUAUCAUUUGAAUUCGUUCCUAUUUUGAUCAUCCACAUUUAAAUUUAUAAUGGAAAGCCUUUUUUCUAACUAGUAUAAUAAUACAUUUCAUCCACAAUACUUACAUAUUAUACCAAUUCAAUCCUAAUUCUAAAUAAUUCAAUAAAUUUAACCUGUCACAUUUACAAAUUCUAUCAAUUUGAUCCUCAUUUAUUGAAUUAUUUAGAAUUAGGAUCAUGUUAAAGUAAUUAAUAAGCAGAUAGUUAGUUAGCUGGUUAGCUAACUGUUGUAAGUUUCAGUUGAAAGAAGUUAAUGUGUUUCUAUAAAUAAGCAAAUAGAUGAUUGUACUUCCAAGGUUCUUGAUGAAUAAAAGAUUAAUUUAGUACAGAUACAGCUGUUAUGAUGAUAUCUUAACAUGGUAUCAGAAGUUGUUGUGUUGAACGUGUUUCUUGUAUUUUCUUUUUGUUUCUUUCAUGGAUUUCUCCUCCAGUCCUUCUGCUGUGCAAUCUGCUUUUCCUGCCAUGAAUACAAACUUCUCUGAUAGUCUUGCUGAUUGUCAUUUUCUUUCCACUAAGAAGAUCAGUGUGUUAUUGGAUGAUAAUAACUACUUACUAUGGCGUCAAUAGGUUAUUCUGGCGCUCAAAACUUUCAGACUACAACAUUUUCUUGAUCCUGCCACAUCACCUCCGCCUCAACGGAUUCUGGACGAUAAUGGUGUUCUUCAGGAGAACCCGGAGUUUUCUCGAUUUGAGCAGCAAAACUGUGCUCUAGCCUCUUGGCUACUAUCCUCUGUAAGUACAAGUGUUUUACUGCAUCUUAUUGGUCUAGAGUCCUGCUCUCAGAUUUGAAUGCUAUUGUUGAUCUUUUUGGGAGCAAGACUACUUCUCGUUUAAUGUCUUAUAGACAGACGUUACAUUCUCAACGCAAAGGUGACUUAUCUAUGAAGGAUUUCCUACUAAAGAUUAAGAGUUGUUGUGAGAAUCUUGCUAAUUGUGGAGAGAUCAUCAGUGAGCGUGAACAUGUCACUGCCAUUCUAAAUAGUUUGCCGUCUAAGUAUGAGUCGGCCAUCACUGUUGUCACUGCAAGUCAAGUUCCGUAUACUGUUCGAGGGGUGUCUACUAUUCUUCUUGAUGCUGAAACCAAACAGCAGGUUAUAGUCAAUGAAGAUCCUAGUUCAGCAAAUCUUGUGUCUAGUCAAGAGACAAGUUCUAUGGAUACAACUACUUCAGCCCCUACAUAUCGCCCUUCCUCAACAAAUUGAGGAAGAGGGCGUGGUCGCUCUUACGGCUCUCGGAUGCAGUGUCAACUAUGCGGGAAAAUGGAUCACCUUGUGGAUCGGUGCUAUCAUCGAUUUGAUGCGUCAUAUAAGAGUGUUGGCUAUAAACCACCUGGGGCUCCGCAAGCAAAUUUGAGUAUGGUUAGGUCUGCUUGUCCGAUGACACUUUGGAUGCCAAUUCUGCUUGCUGUCAAUCCAAAUCCUCAAUCAGGUUGGUACAAUUCCCCUGGUUAAUCUCCUAAUUGGACUAACCCAUUUGUUCACAAUUUCCCACAGUAUGGACCCAUGUCUUCUUCGACAUCUCCCACAGUUUCUCAGGCUCAGAUCCAUGCAGCGACUCCUGCAACAGUAGCUGAUAAUGCUUGGUAUCCAGACUCUGGUGCCACUCACCAUCUGACAAAUUCAAGCUCAUCUAUAGGUGAACAACAAUCUUGUACCGGCCCAGGUAAGGUGUAUGUGGGUAACGGUUCUACACUUUCUGUUAUGUCCAUGGGUCAAUUGUCACUGCUCACUCGGUCCCGAUUCUUACACAUGAAGUUAUUAUUGUAUGUACCUGGGAUAACUAAAAAUCUUCUUUCUGCAUCAAAGUUUACAAAAGAUAAUGCAGUAAUGUUUGAGUUCUAUCCUACACAGUGCCAAGUUCGUGAUUUAAAAGCUAGAAAGGUGCUUCUCUAUGGCUCUAUACACGAUGGGUUAUACAAGUUACAUCUUUCCAAUGCUGGCUUAACGGUGUUACCUGCUCAAUCUGCUCAGUGUUUUUCUGCUCAUUCUAUGGUUUCACUUGAUGUUUGGCAUUACAGAUUAGGACAUCCGUGUAAUGUUCUACUUAAAAGGGCUCUGUCUAAAUAUAAUAUACACUUUGAUAUGAAUAAACAAGUUGCUUGUUGUCAUGCAUGCCAUCUAGGGAAAGAACGUAAACAACCAUUUCCUCAGUCUGUCUCUGAAUACUCCGCUCCUUUACAACUUGUAGCUGCUGAUGUCUGGGGACCUACUCCAGUAGUAUCAAAUAGUUUUCGCUACUAUGUGGGGUUUACGGAUACAUAUUCACGAUACACAUAGGUAUAUUUUCUACGAAAAAAGUCAGAUGUUCUUGGUGUGUUCUCAGUGUUUCAUAAACAAGUAGAAAGGAUUUUGGGUUGCAAGCUUAAAACGCUGCAAACUGAUAGAGGAGGCGAGUUUCAAGCCUUGAAAGGAUAUUUGACACAACAUGGAAUUGUGCAACGUGUCACCUGUCCGUACACGUCACAGCAGAAUGGCUUGGUCGAACGUAAACAUAGGCAAAUCGUGGAAGUCAGUCUUUCUAUGCUGGCGCAUGUAAGGAUGCCAAUUAAUUACUGGAAUGAUGCCUUCAGCAGUGCUAUUUUUUUGGUUAAUAGGCUACCUUCCUCACCUAUAAGGGUGUCUCCGUAUGAAAAGUUGUUUCGAGAAUGUCCUCCUUACUCGUUUUUGCGGGUGUUUGGGUGUUUAUGCUUCCCUAACUUACGUCCUUACAAUACGUCCAAGUUACAGUUUCGAUCCACUCUGUGUACGUUUUUAGGAUACUCUCCGACUCAUAAAGGGUAUUAGUGUCCGGCAGCAGAUGGAAAAGUUUACAUUUCUCGCCAUGUUACGUUUUAUGAAGAUGUUUUUCCGUUUAAAAAUCUCAGCUCCAGGCCAUCACCUCCUUCACCUGACAUAGCACAGUCGAGUUCUAGACUGCUUGUUAUGCAACCUGGUUGUUCGCCCAUGGGUAGUACAGGUCACCACUAACAUGCUGUCCCGACUAGUGCUAGUAACACUCUAGCUCAAGGUUCUUCUAUUAGCUCAAGGUUCUCUUCAUAUGUACCCAGUAACGCUACAGCUCAGAGUUCUUCUGCUAGCUUGAGGCAAUGCACGACGCGCGAUAGGACUGCUACCACCCCUUCCGGAUUGGUUGUUCCAGCUAACUCACAUGCCAUGGUUACAAGUAGUAAAGCUGGUAUCUUCAAGCCUAAGGUUUACUUGAGUAGUACGGAUGCUGCAACAACCGAUGUUUCUUCUGACAUUCAUGAACUAUGCAACAGACUUGUUGGCAAACGACGGUUCAUGCUGAGUUACAAGCUCUUCAGCAGAAUAAGACAUGGGAACUGUGUUCUCUACCAGCUAACAGACAAGUUAUUGGGUGCAAGUGGCUAUUGAAAGUAAAAAGGAAGGCUGAUGGUACUGUGGAUAGAUACAAAGCGCGCUUGGUGGCGAAGAGAUUUUCACAACAUGUUGGCUUUAAUUUUCAGGAUACUUUUAGUCUUGUAGUUAAAGCAGUGACUAUACGAAUUGUGCUAGCUAUUACUGUUAUGAAAGGCUGGCCCAUUAGACAGGUAGACAUCAACAAUGCGUUCCUUAAUGGAGAACUGAUAGAAGAAAUCUAUAUGGCACAACCACUUGGUUUUGAAGUUAUAGGUCAAAAUAGAUAGCAGCUUGUGUGUCGUCUGGCUAAAGCUCUUUAUGGGCUAAAGCAAGCCCCCCGAGCUUGGUUUCAAACACUAAAGGAGUAUCUUGUACAUAAGCUUGGCUUUCAUGCUUCAAAAGCCGAUCCCUCAUUGUUUAUUCGCGAUUCUGAUGGUCAACUAUUACUUCUCAUGGUGUAUGUGGAUGACAUAGUUGUCACAGGUAACUCAGUUGCUACCAUUAACACAGUUGUCAAGGUACUUCAUGACAAGUUUUCCCUUAAAGACAUGAGACAACUGAAUUUUUUCUUGGGCAUUGAAGUUCGGCAUACAUCUCAGGGGUUGUUCCUAAAUCAAAAGAAGUACAUUGGAGAAAUACUGCACAAAACAUACAUGACAGGUGAUGUAUCCACACCCACACCUAUGUUGAGCUCCUCAAAGCUAGUAGCCUCAGACGAUUCUUUAGAGUUUACUGAUGGUUCCCUAUAUCAGAGUACAAUAGGUAUGCUUCAAUACCUGUGCAUUACAUGACCUGAAUUGGCAUUUUGUGUGAACAAACUAAGCCAAUAUAUGAAUUCUCCUAGUGAUGAGCAUUGGAAAGUAGUAAAACGGGUCUUAAGAUAUCUUGUUGGGAUUAUGGAUCAUGGUCUAUUUUUCUCAAAGGGUCAGUUUAAACUGGAAUGUUAUUCUGAUGCUGACUGGGCAGCCUUAGUUGAAGAUAGAUGUUCUACAACAGGAUAUGUCAUUUUUCUCGGGUCGAAUCCAGUUGCAUGGUCCUCUAAGAAGCAGGCUGUGGUCUCAAGGUCAUCUUCUGAAGCCGAGUAUCGUAGUCUAGCUAAUUGUGUUGCUGAAUUACUAUGGGUAAAACAACUGCUGGAUGAAAUUGGACUGUCAGUUUGCCAAACACUAGUCAUCUGGUGUGAUAAUACCUCUACAGUAUCCAUGGCUGCAAACCCGACUCAUCACGCUCGUAUGAAACAUGUUGAAAUUGAUCACCACUUUAUUCGGGAAAAGGUGAUGGCAGGGGUUUUGCAUGUUAAUUUCGUUCCUUCCACGAGGCAAAUUGCAGAUGUUCUUACCAAACCCAUACCCCCCACUCAAUUCAUUGAUUUUCGACAGAAGCUUCAAGUUUGUUCAAAAUGAUAGCUGUUGUCAGGGUUUAGUAAAACCGGGAGAAUGUUAAAGUAAUUAAUAAGCAGUUAGUUAGCUGGUUAGCUAACUGUUGUAAGUUUCAGUUGAAAGAAUUUAAUGUGUUAGUUAAUGUGUUUCUAUAAAUAAGCAAAUAGAUGAUUGUACUUCCAAGGUUCUUGAUGAAUAAAAGAUUAAUUCAGUACAGAUAUAGCUGUUAUGAUGAUAUCUUAACAAAAUUGAUAGAAUAUGUGUUAUUUUACCAUUUAGAAAAUGGCUUCCCGUUAUUAAUUUAACGAUGGAUGACCAAAAUAAGAACAAAUCUAAACGUUAAUGCUUAAAUUAAAAAAAUUAAAGUUGAGUGACCAAAAUAAAAACACAAACAUAAUUGGGUGGCUAUUUGUAGAAUUUACCCUUAUUAAUAAUAAAAGAGUUGAGGUUCAAUUAAGGUCGAGGAAAUAAAAUUUCAUACCCUAGGCUUGAUUUGUAUUUUAAAUGGAUCUUAUUUUUGGUCAUUGAAUAAUGUAAUAUUUUUUAAUCCAGCCGCCCAUGUUUGUUCCUUUCUUUUGGGCAGUAAAUCCUUAGUGCUUCCAUCCUGGGGUAAUGUUGAAGAAUUCGACUGUAAAAAUCAUUCCUAUUUCUGGAAAACCAAAAACUGUAAAAUUGUUCUAACUUCGACUUUUUUACAAAGGAUAAAAAUAGGGAGUUGUCUAAAUAUUAAACUCGAGAUUGAUAUUAAUGAAAGAUUUAAACAUUAUUUUUUAUCACUCUAUUUAUGAUUCAAUCAUCGGUAAUAGUAUUAUAAAGACUUUUGUAAUAAGAGUUAGAUUGUAUUUUGCCCACUGUAUUACAAAAAGGGUAAAUUAAUUCAUGUACUUUAAACCAAAGAGCAUAUUGAUCAUUCUGUUAAAAAUUUCAUCUAUUUUCUACUAUUAAAAAUUGGUUUAUGUACAUCAACAUAACGUAUACGUGGCACGUCACAUGUUACUGACUGGUAAUUUCAUUAGACACGCUAGUUUUUAACAGUACAAAUAGAUGAUUUUUUUAAUAGAAAAGAUUAAAUUACUUAUUGAUCUAAUGUACAUGGACCAAUUUGUCUAUUUUUAAAGUAUAAAAAAUAAAAUGCAAUCUAACUCUUAUUAUAAAAACCUAUAUGAUGCUUUUACCAUCAAUCAACACAUCUUAGAUCUUAAUUUUAUGGGAACAAAUAAAAUAAUGUGAACUAGGAUAAUUAAAAAUAAAAAAUCUGGUGCCAAUUGGGGUUGCGUUUUUUUUAUCUAUUAUUUUGUAAUUAGAUCAAACGUUUGGUUUAAUUUUCGAAUACAUAAAUGCAUAUUUAAACCACCGACAGAGAAACGAUGGUAAACUGUUGUUAUCAAUUUUUUUGUAAGUGUUUGACUAAUUAAACUGUUGCUAUCGGACGGCUGUCAUGGAAUCCAAUUGUUUUUAUUGAAAUCUUUUAACGUGGGGAUAAAGGAAUAAAUAUAAAUUAUCUCCAUUGAUAAUUAUGAAAAUGAUUCCAACUAUUCUGUACCGUGAAGGUAUUUUCAACCCUACAGCUUUUGAUAACGUUAUAUUUGUCAUUUUAUGUCACCAAAAUGUUAUCAAACAAUUACCCAAAGCCGGAGUAACAUUUUUUAAUAGGUUUAUAUUUUAUAAUUCAGUUUAAUUUUUUAUUUAAAUUCAGUGUUAAUAAUAUAUAAAUAUUAUUUUAAGCAAAUAUUCCGCUCGAAAUUCGAAUUCAACUUUUAAGAAACCUCUCUCUCUCUUUCUUGCUCAUCGGAAACGAUACACAUUGAGAAUUUCCAUGUUUAUUAUUUUGUUAUUCAAUAUUGAUUUAUAGUGCGUACAAAUUUGAGGUAAAAGAAUAUUUAUUAUCUAAAUUCAUUUUGAUUUUUUAUGGUUAACAAAAUUCAAGUUAUUAUAUAUUCAAACUGAAUAACAAUUUAUAUAUUUAAAAUUAUUAUUUAAAUAUACAAUUUUAUUUUUUGAAAAUAAUUUAAUAAAUUUUUGUAACACCCCAAAAUAUAUAAGGUUAGAAAUUUAAUUAAUCACCAAAAAAAUAGUUUAGUUUUGAUGGUUACAUAGUUAGAAAAGUUUUUAAGUCCCCUCUUCCCAGGAACAAAAUCAAUCUAGUAUAGACAUUAAAUGUGGUAGAAAUAUUGAAAGCAUGGAUAGUAGCCUAAUGACUAAACUCUCUUUUUAUCCAUUACGUCCCUAGUUCCAGUCACACCACUAUCCCUUCUCAUUUCUUUUUUGGACGGCAAGAAAGAAAAUUUUCCUAAUUAGCCCUUUAAAAUGUGAAAACCCUAACUAUUUAAUCAUCUUUCCAAAUCAAAAUAAAACUCUAGUUUUCCUUUUCCAACUGAACAAGGGUUUCAUUUUUUUUUCCCUAUUUCUUCCCCUAUUCUUUUUCAUCUUCCCCCUUCAAUUAUUUUCUUUACAUUGAUGGAAAUUUUAUUUUGAUCCUAAGUUUGAAAUCGAGCCCCAUUCAAUCAAUUUUUUAAUUGAUUUAGCAUAACAACGUUGAAUCCUGUAUUAAAUGUUGCCAAGAAUCAAUAAGAACAUCUCAAUUUUAACAUUUAGAUAUCAAAAUCCCCAUAGGUUCUAUUUUUGUUAAUUUCAAGAUCGAUUAAGCGAUCUUUUUUACAAAUAUUACCGAUUCCUUCCUAAAAUCUUGAUUUUUCCUUGAAGAUCGUUAUUAAUCCUUGCGUAUUUUUCGGUUGAAAGACUCGUUAUAAGUAUCCUAGAUCAAACUUGGACGUGAAGAUUAUCGUUUGAAACCCUAAAAGUCAAGUGUGUAUUUUUUCACAAGAAAGUCGAGACAAAAUCGAGCUUAGGAUAUGCCAUAUGGCUAGCCACACGGGUGUGUGGGUCGCCCGUAUGGACCACACGACCACCAUACGUGACCAUGUCCUCCUUGAAACCCUAAAUUUUCACUUCUCACACGACCUAGGACACCCCAUACAGCCUGCCACAUGAUCGUGUAACCUCUAUGGUUGUAGUUUCAAUUGCCACACGACCAUAGUCUCACACAUGGCCUAGCCACAUGACCAUGUACCCCCUUCACACGAUCUAGGGGUUCCCACACGGUCCAGUCACACGGCCAUGUGUUUCCUAUAACUCAGAAUUUACAGUUUUGACCUAAAAUUUUAUCUUUUGAUUAGAUUAGUCAUUGAAUAUAUUAUGAAUUACUUUUAGUGAAUUAAGUUAUGCAAUUAGGUCCUUGAUGAUAAGAAAAAAGGUAGAGUUCAGGAUUGACUGAUUUAUUGUAAUAUUUAUUUAUAUUUAUGAAUAUUUGAAUGAGACAUGAAUAAGUUAUGUUGCUAUUGAAUCUAUACUUGCGAAUGUAUGUACAACAUGCACUAUAAUAUUGUUAACCCGAAUACCUGAUAAAAUCAUGACUAUGUUACUAAUAUUCCAUGUGUUAGCAUAUUAGAUACUAUCAUAUUUUGUUUGUAUUCAAUAUUUCAUAAUGUAUUGCAUGGGUUGGAACAAUAUGUAUAGAGGAAAAUCAGACAAUCUAUCUGCAAGAAAAAUAGCGGUGCAAGUCACAACCAUGCGACAGUUCUUAUCUACAAAUUACUGUGUAUCAAAAGUAAAAUGCUGAUUUUGAAGACGAGUUUAUGCUGUAAAAUCUACAGCCAAAAAAUAGGUCCCAUCUGCAGGACUUUUGCUGUGAACCCACAACCAAAGACGGAUUCUAACUACGGGGACUUGUUGUAUGCCCACAACUUAAUGGCAGUUAUUAUUUGUGAACCAGUAGUUGUUUAUCCACAUAUCGAUGUGUUGAAGAAGGGAGUUCUAAGGAACUCUUAUUAUGGUGUGUGGCGACGGGGUAGGAUUUAUUCUAUUUAAACUCGGAACUGUAUGGCAUCAUUUAAUUCAUGUGCAUACAAAUCUAAAAAUUAUGUUAUAAUACAUAGGCGUAAAUAUAUAUAUGUGUAUGAAUAUGAUUAUUAUGGGAAAAUAUGGGAAUUUUGGUUAAUUUUAAAAAUUAUUAUUGUGAGUUCUGACAUAUUAAUGAUGUCAUGAGGUUACUUUUGUUCAAACGUACUAAUAAUUGGUCGACUAAUAGCAAGGUUACUUACAUUUCCUUAAGCUCCCCCAAACUUAACCUCCUAUAAAUAGACAAUGGCAUGGGGUUGAUACUGGCAUCGAGGUCACAUAGGGUUUUCCUGAAACUCACUCCACCUAUUUCAAUGGGAAUGGUAAAGCUACCGGGAUCCUUUAGUUUGGGCGAAACUCUUCUAGACACCGUCGUACUUUAUUUUUUGUUAAGUGUAAUUUACUCUUUUCUCCCUAUUUUCCUUCGAUGAAACAUAACUUCUCUAAGGAACUUGACAUUUUUAGGCAUUUUCUCAAGGAUUUCAAAUAAGAGGAAGUUCAUGUUCAAGGCUUUAAACAUCUUGAGGAAGUCUGUGAACUCCUCAUCAUCCUUCUUCUUUCUCUCCUCUAAGCGGCUCGAAAAGGGUAUGGGCCUUGGGGUAGGUGGUGGUGGUGGA
Molecule: long non-coding RNA, 23268 nt
Filed under: Gossypium barbadense (sea-island cotton)
Lineage: Eukaryota; Viridiplantae; Streptophyta; Magnoliopsida; Malvales; Malvaceae
Description: long non-coding RNA (GBAR_LNC014012)
Rfam family: MIR7502 microRNA precursor family (bases 4361-4505)
Source: RNAcentral